AGUGAACGCUGGCGGUAGGCCUAACACAUGCAAGUCGAACGGCAGCACAGUAAGAGCUUGCUCUUACGGGUGGCGAGUGGCGGACGGGUGAGGAAUACAUCGGAAUCUACUUUUUCGUGGGGGAUAACGUAGGGAAACUUACGCUAAUACCGCAUACGACCUACGGGUGAAAGCAGGGGAUCUUCGGACCUUGCGCGAUUGAAUGAGCCGAUGUCGGAUUAGCUAGUUGGCGGGGUAAAGGCCCACCAAGGCGACGAUCCGUAGCUGGUCUGAGAGGAUGAUCAGCCACACUGGAACUGAGACACGGUCCAGACUCCUACGGGAGGCAGCAGUGGGGAAUAUUGGGCAAUGGGCGCAAGCCUGACCGAGCCAUACCGCGUGGGUGAAGAAGGCCUUCGGGUUGUAAAGCCCUGUUGUUGGGAAAGAAAAGCAGCAGGUUAAUACCCCGCUGUUCUGACGGUACCCAAAGAAUAAGCACCGGCUAACUUCGUG
This 492-nucleotide ribosomal RNA is filed under the name uncultured bacterium. RNAcentral's name for it is "partial 16S ribosomal RNA". It matches the Rfam family "Bacterial small subunit ribosomal RNA", at positions 29 to 507 of the family's 1533-position model. The record is from RNAcentral.